This is a long non-coding RNA of Eupeodes corollae, 537 nucleotides long. RefSeq lists it as uncharacterized. The record is from RefSeq and is a predicted model, not a curated record. The transcript has 2 exons. NCBI's taxonomy places the organism in Eukaryota, Metazoa, Arthropoda, Insecta, Diptera, Syrphidae.
UACACAACGUGACGGAAUCACCUUUUAAAACAAUCAGACAAUAAAUCGAUAGAAGAUAAUAAAUAAUAAUAAUGUGGUUUUGAAUUUAGUUUAAUUGGAUUACUAGAACAUUUAAGUCGUAUUGUGAUAACUUAAUAUCUAAGUUCUUAGUGUACCUUCUUGGUGAAAGAAAAAUAUGGCAACAACGGAAGGUAAAGUUCAAGGCUUAACCCAAGAUGAAAAGACUCCUCUAACAACAAGCAGUGGUGACAUUGGUGAUUCAUAUACAACACAAAUUGUGUCACUAAAAUCACCGAUAUUGCCGCCGACACCCUGGUAUGGAGAUGUUUCAACAAUGGUUUCUACUCCAAAUAUCCAGCAUAUAGUUUUCGUUGCCUUUGGAUUUGUCGUACUUAGUGUAUGUGCGAUUUUUGUAGAAGCGCUCAUGAAGGAAUCUUUUUUCUUUUAAACCUUUGAGGGUUGAAUAAUUUUUACUUUGAAAAAGUUUGUGUUUUGUGUUCAUUCGAAAAUAAAAACUAAUAAGAAAACAAUAGUAAA